AUUGAACGCUGGCGGCAUGCUUUACACAUGCAAGUCGAACGGCAGCACGGGCUUCGGCCUGGUGGCGAGUGGCGAACGGGUGAGUAGUAUAUCGGAACGUACCCAGAAGUGGGGGAUAACGUAGCGAAAGUUACGCUAAUACCGCAUACGAUCUAUGGAUGAAAGCAGGGGACCGCAAGGCCUUGUGCUCCUGGAGCGGCCGAUAUCUGAUUAGCUAGUUGGUGAGGUAAAGGCUCACCAAGGCGACGAUCAGUAGCUGGUCUGAGAGGACGACCAGCCACACUGGAACUGAGACACGGUCCAGACUCCUACGGGAGGCAGCAGUGGGGAAUUUUGGACAAUGGGCGCAAGCCUGAUCCAGCAAUGCCGCGUGAGUGAAGAAGGCCUUCGGGUUGUAAAGCUCUUUUGUCAGGGAAGAAACGGUAGAGGCUAAUAUCCUGUGCUAAUGACGGUACCUGAAGAAUAAGCACCGGCUAACUACGUG
This 484-nucleotide ribosomal RNA is filed under the name uncultured bacterium. Its description in RNAcentral is "partial 16S ribosomal RNA". It matches the Rfam family "Bacterial small subunit ribosomal RNA", at positions 30 to 507 of the family's 1533-position model. The record is from RNAcentral.